Molecule: long non-coding RNA, 663 nt
Organism: Mytilus trossulus (common blue mussel)
Lineage: Eukaryota; Metazoa; Mollusca; Bivalvia; Mytilida; Mytilidae
Exons: 3
Source: RefSeq, a predicted model, not a curated record
CUGUAAAGAAAUAAAUUGUAAAUACCUGCAGCCGUUAAGCCACCACGUGGUAACCAUGUGCUGCAAGCAGACACGACGAGAGGGCUGUAAACAAACAAUUUCCAGUCCAAACGGAUGAAUUUGCUGCCGUGACUAAAAAUGAUAGACAAUAAUACCAAUACAAGAUAUUUAGAACUUUUUCCAGAUAACCAUAUGGCACUGUCAUCAGCAAAUUGUGACAUAGCACAGUACUUUAAAUUAUUGGAUAUAUCAUUCACCAUGAUGUUAAAUAGUGUAGGACUUAUACAACUACCCUGUGGUGUACCAUUCUGAAUUAUAAAUAUUUCAGAAUAUGGAAGAUUUUCUCUGACAUAUAUGGCUGUACCUCCAUGUGAUUUAGUAUUACGUACAGAAAAAUCAGCUAUUUUAUAACCUAUUACAUGUGGAUGAUCUUGUUCGGUUUUACACCAUGUUUCCUGGAAGCAAAUUAUAUCAGGCUUCAUUUGUGACAUAGCUAUAUACUCCGCAGCAUUGUUGUUAAUGCCACGACAGUUCCAAUGAACAACACUGAACAUUAUGUUAUAUAAUAAUAAACAUGAUAAAUAAAUAGUAUAAUUGAUAGCCAUUAUUAGUUGUAUAUUGUUAAUACUUUAUAUUGGGCGAUAAAUAAAUUAUAUCAUUUCA